Cinara cedri is the source of this 315-nucleotide non-coding RNA. The record is from the annotation of a GenBank genome assembly. NCBI's taxonomy places the organism in Eukaryota, Metazoa, Arthropoda, Insecta, Hemiptera, Aphididae.
GACAAUAUACUUAUACUCAAUUUUAGGGCCUUUCAUAGACGUAAAUAAGGGGAGAGGUGCUUGGGUGGGCUUAGUCCAUCCUUCAGCCUCUCAAUACUACGUACAAUAAAAUGAAUUUAAUGAUUGUGUGAACGAUCAUUCUCCUCAAUGAGAAGAAUUAAUACUUAUUUAAAGUCAAAUAUGACGCAAAACAGAUUUACAAAAAUUUAACUAUUCUUAACAUUGAGCGAAAAUUAUCAAACACAAUUAAAAAUGAUUAUAUUCUUAACCAAUUCGCAGAAAAAGAUAGAAACGUGCAUUUAUAAAAAAACAAUU